Salarias fasciatus (jewelled blenny) is the source of this 472-nucleotide long non-coding RNA. RefSeq lists it as uncharacterized. The transcript is spliced from 3 exons. The record is from RefSeq and is a predicted model, not a curated record. Lineage: Eukaryota; Metazoa; Chordata; Actinopteri; Blenniiformes; Blenniidae.
GCUGCUGCUGAUCCACUGACAGCCUCUGUAGGAGGAAACAUCACUCUGCCCCUCGCCGUGAAGAAGGAAGGAUUUCUGUUACAUGAAGGAAAGAAUGUAGCUCAGGUGCGCGAGAACAAACUGGAGAUACUUGAAGAAAAUUACAAGCAUAGAAUUCACUGGAACCAGAACACAGGAUGUUUUACUCUCACCGGGCUGCAGAAAAAUGACUCUGGGAUCUACACAGUUGACUCGAAGGAAGGAGGAGGUGCUUCAGUAAAUUAUACACUGAUGGUGUGCGAGAAUAAAACAAAGUCAGUUGAUGUGACGACAGUCUGUCCACUGAACCAUAGAGGGAACACCAGCAGCUCCACAGACUCCAGGCAUCAUUUGAUCCCCAUCAUCAUUCCCACAGUGUGUGUUCUCAUCUUGUUAGUCUCUGUUUAUUUCAUCUGGAGGUUUUGUCACCAAAAGAAGUUGACAGUGAGACAAA